Molecule: non-coding RNA, 73 nt
Organism: Felis catus (domestic cat)
Lineage: Eukaryota; Metazoa; Chordata; Mammalia; Carnivora; Felidae
Source: Rfam
ACCUGGCUGGCUCAGUUGGUACAGCGUACGACUCUGGAUCUCAGGGUCAUGAGUUCAAGCCCCAUGUUGGGUG